Molecule: long non-coding RNA, 372 nt
Organism: Homo sapiens (human)
Lineage: Eukaryota; Metazoa; Chordata; Mammalia; Primates; Hominidae
Exons: 3
Source: RefSeq, a predicted model, not a curated record
AUCAGGUGAUGGUCAGGUGGUCGUUAAACUGCCUCUCUGAAAUAAUAGUUGGGUCACAGCUGGUGCCAGGGAAAGGUAGUCUCCCAAUAGAUAGAAACACCAGGAACGGAUGAUCAGCAGCUUCCAGAUAAGAUCUCAGGAAAUGGGCUCUUGUUCCAGAGGACUGAAUAGAUCUUCAAGUCCUUGCAUACUGUCAAGCAUUUACAUCAGGGCCCUCACUGCCUUGGAUGCACUUGGAGAAUUUUAGCUGCAACAGGAUGCAAAAAGUUCAAGCCAAGGGUACAGGGAGAAGAAAGUGAAAGUGGAAAUUAAAGGGCCCAAGUAGGAGAGAGCAGAAGAAAAAGAAACAAACAAACAAGAACAACAUAAAAA